Non-coding RNA from Vicia faba (fava bean), 369 nucleotides. NCBI's taxonomy places the organism in Eukaryota, Viridiplantae, Streptophyta, Magnoliopsida, Fabales, Fabaceae. The record is from the annotation of a GenBank genome assembly.
AUGUCAUGUCAGGAAGUGAGUCAAGAGAAAACGAGUGUGCUUUAUUCCAAGAAUGUUUCUAGAAGAGAGAGUGAUAAUCAUAGGAAGCUUCAUUCAGUUGCACGGGAAUCUCUCACAAGACCUAAAGCUCUUGGUGGUAUUGGUCUUAGGAACUUGGAGGUUUUGAACACAGUUUGUAUUAUGAAGUUUGGGAGGAAAAUCAUAAUCAAGUCUCAGGAUCUAUGGUGCAACAUUUUGCAAGAUAAAUAUGUAGCUAAGAAUAAUGAGGAGAUUAUCAUGUAUAGAAGAGCUGACUCUAGUCUUUGGAAGGACAUAGCCAAGAGUAUUCCAAACCUUCGAGAUUAUAGUUGUUGGUAUGUUGGGGACUGA